This 255-nucleotide ribosomal RNA is filed under the name uncultured bacterium. RNAcentral's name for it is "partial 16S ribosomal RNA". It matches the Rfam family "Bacterial small subunit ribosomal RNA", at positions 15 to 265 of the family's 1533-position model. The record is from RNAcentral.
GAUCAUGGCUCAGGACGAACGCUGGCGGCGUGCCUAACACAUGCAAGUCGAGCGGAGACAGUGAGUAGCUUGCUAUGAACUGUUUUAGCGGCGGACGGGUGAGUAACGCGUGAGCAACCUUUCCCAGACAGGGGAAUAACACACCGAAAGGUGUACUAAUACCGCAUAAGACCACGGGAUCACAUGGUUCUGGGGUAAAAGAUUAUCGUUGGGGUGGGCGUCGCGUCCGAUUAGGUAGUUGGUGAGGUAACGGCC